This 497-nucleotide ribosomal RNA is filed under the name uncultured bacterium. RNAcentral's name for it is "partial 16S ribosomal RNA". It matches the Rfam family "Bacterial small subunit ribosomal RNA", at positions 28 to 507 of the family's 1533-position model. The record is from RNAcentral.
GAUGAACGCUGGCGGCGUGCCUAAUACAUGCAAGUCGAGCGAACGGACGAGAAGCUUGCUUUUCUGAUGUUAGCGGCGGACGGGUGAGUAACACGUGGAUAACCUACCUAUAAGACUGGGAUAACUUCGGGAAACCGGAGCUAAUACCGGAUAAUAUUUUGAACCGCAUGGUUCAAAAGUGAAAGACGGUCUUGCUGUCACUUAUAGAUGGAUCCGCGCUGCAUUAGCUAGUUGGUAAGGUAACGGCUUACCAAGGCAACGAUGCAUAGCCGACCUGAGAGGGUGAUCGGCCACACUGGAACUGAGACACGGUCCAGACUCCUAAGGGAGGCAGCAGUAGGGAAUCGUCCGCAAUGGGCGAAAGCCUGACGGAGCAACGCCGCGUGAGUGAUGAAGGUCUUCGGAUCGUAAAACUCUGUUAUUAGGGAAGAACAGAUGUGUAAGUAACUGUGCACAUCUUGACGGUAACUAAUCAGAAAGCCACGGCUAACUACGUG